Gymnodraco acuticeps is the source of this 5902-nucleotide long non-coding RNA. RefSeq lists it as uncharacterized. The record is from RefSeq and is a predicted model, not a curated record. NCBI's taxonomy places the organism in Eukaryota, Metazoa, Chordata, Actinopteri, Perciformes, Bathydraconidae. The transcript has 14 exons.
GUUCUGCGCCGCGCUCCGGCCCCCAGGCGUAUCGGCAUACCACAGCUGAUGAAUGACGGCUGCUUUCUGGGUCGCCAGCGCGCUACGGAGAAGGGAGGACAGGCUAGUGCUGCAGAGCGUGCACUGAGUGAACAGUGCAGGUGGACCGUCCUGUCUGUGCCCACCAGGAUGGACACACUCCCCCCCCCCCCCCCACAACACCACCUUGCCCAGUGCCAUCUUUGGGGGUGGAUAUAAAUAUCAUGUGGACUGACGAUGCCUGCUGUGUGUGUUUCUGUGAGUGUGUAUGUCUCUGUCUCUGUGUUUCUGUUAAAGGUAAGGGUCAAUCUAAGUCGUAUCUGCAAUUCUGUGCAGAUUUGUAAACAUUCAUAUUUUUUUAAAUAUUUAAUCAUAUAUUUGAAUUGUAUUAUUAUUUGUAAUAUUAUCCCCAUUAUUGUUAUUUAUAUUAUUUAGUUUUAUGUUUGUAAUAAGGCCACCAGAGGGCAGUAAACAUCCAGAAAUGUCCACAAAGUUUUUUUUAACAUUUUCAGCCUAAGCAAAUACAACAUAAACUAUUUGAUCAUUUCUUAGGGUCAAAGGUUAUUUAUUAUCUCAUAUUUGCCUAGGGUCCUAUAUUAAUAAAUUAUGUUUUGAUAACUUGCUAUCAUGGUUGAUUCUAACAGUAGUGUAUUGUAGUCCUUUUAUUGUAAAUAUGUUCGAUGGAUGAGAAUUAAGCUUAAGACAGUAGAUAAAAAGCAGCAAAAGUCUUGGGUACAUUUGCAAAAUGUAAUUGUUUUAGUUGUCCUGUUGUCCAAUGUCCCGUUUCUUUAUCUGCAGAGUCAGAGUGCAGGAGUCAGAGAGAGGAGGCGGUGCGGAGCUAAUGCGUCCUCAUUAAUCUCUUAAUCCUCAUUUCCUCUCCGACCCUCUGCCCGUGAACUCGUCUGGCCCCACGAGUAAGAAACUCUGCUGAAAAACUGAAGUCAAAAUAUAAAAAUAAUUGAAACUCGAACUCUUUCCAAAACCUAAUCGUCUCCAUUUAAAAAAAAUAUAGACACAAAAAGAACCUAAAAGAUUACUAAUGCUCAUUAAAUGAUUCCUUUCUGCAUAAAUAAUCUGAAGAAUCAUCACCUUUAAAGGACCUUUAUUUGUUUUUUUAUAAAACAAACAAUAAACAAUGCGUUAAUAAGAAUAGAUUAUACAUUGAUAUACACAGGACAUAUGUGACAAUAUAAAACAACCAAAUAAAUAAAUACUCAUACAGAGGUUUUAUAUAUCCUGAUAACAUUUACAGCAAGAACUCUGAAUACCCCCACUAACUUGAAUAUGAUCAACCUGACUUUAUAAGGAAAUAGCUGCUUGUAAAUGUAUGCUUCAUGUUUGUAGGAUUUGCUCAAAAAUAAGAAAUAUACUAUUUAAGUGGAGACAAAACAGCUGACUAAAUUAGAUAUGCGAUUAAAAUAUGCAUAUUGGAUGUUUUUUUUCACUAGUUUGGAAGCAAAAUAGCCCAAGAACUUAACAAAAUGACCAGUGCAUGAAAAACUAAGCCUGUAGUGUGGUCUUAAAAAGAAAAGGGUGCAUGUUUUACACUUUUUUAUUACGCUAAUAGUCAAAUCCAGGUAAUAAUCUCCUGUCUGCUGAUCUCUAGUCAGCGCCUCGUUAGCCUGGAGCAGGAGGACUGAAAGUGACUCUGCUUUCUUUCCCAGUGAGGAAACACUUUGGUUUUUCCUCAUCGUUUCUUCGUUUCUCCUGAAGAUUUGAUAUGUGCUCGUUGAACUCCUGUUUCAUUCUUGAUGCUUGUCAUUCGGUCAACCUCUGGAAACAGGAAGCUGAAAAGACAAGAGGGUUUUAAAAAUGAAGUAGAUUUGUGUGCAUGUACGGUGGCAGGAACAAGUGAGUGAACCCUGUGUACUAAAACAGAUCCUAUCUUCACCUAGGUUACAAUAAUCAACUAACACAAUCUGUUUGUACUUAUCACUCACCAAUUAUUGUUUGUUCUUGUCCAUAUUGAAAUCAUUGUUCAAACAUUAACAGUAUAGGUUGGAAAAAGUAUGUGUAGACUUUAACACAAGCUAACUGAGUUUACUUUAAGAAAAGGUGCAGAGGACAGAUCAGCAGCUGGAUGUCUCCAGACAUUGGCAGAUAGAUGUCAGCUGAAACACAGCGCUCCAUUUGUCUUUGAUCAGGGCACACUGUAUUUCACUGUUCACAGCGCCGCAAUACAUCUUCAUCUGUCACGGGUCAACUCUUGAGGUGGGACGCAUUUUCACGUGUUUGCAGUUUUCCUCGAAUGCUUUUGACGUGUGUGUGUGUCUCGUACCAGCUGCAGAGGAAUAACUGAACCAUAUGCAUUCCUUCCUGAAAAUGCUACCAGAUUUUGACUUUGAUCACAUUCCUAAGGAGUGAAAACUGACUAGAAGACGGGAAAAGAGGAACAUUUCCAGGUCUUCUUACCCUUCUGGAGCAAAGGGAGCCGGUGAAUCCGCUCCUGCAGGCGCAGACGUUUGGCCGGACGCAGCGACUGCCGUAGAGACAUUUGGAUUCACAGAUGGCUGAAAAAAACACGGAAAACUAAAAUAAUCUGAGUAUAAAAUAAUUGUAUCUUGACAAAUAUCUCACUGGGAAUCAGAGACAAGUUUAUCAUGGCAUAUGUAGGAAACUCACGGAUCUGGCACAGCAUGCCCUGCCACCCUCGGGUGCAGUGGCAGGUGUUUGAGCCUACACACUCUCCCCCGUUCAGACACCUCUGCAGACAGCUGGCUGCAGGGAGUCACGAGGCACACACACACACACACCACACACACACAUAUUAGAGCAGCACAAGUCAGAGAAAAGUCACAAACAUCAGCGCUGAAUUACAUGACAUGCAUUCAAACACAGCACCAUUUUAUAAGACUUUCUAAAAUACUAAUCUAAAAUCAAGUUGAAAAGACAAAACGUCCAGAAUUCUCAAUGGAUUUUAUUUGAGGUAAAUCCUAUCUUCCUUAUCUCUUCCGAUCUACUUGUAGGUUUGCGUGUAUUCUACAAGGUUUUUACAGAUUAACUUCACACAGAUGUUCACACUGAUGCAUUAUGGGAUCCAACAUGCUGUAAAUGUAGGGAGUUAUGUAUCGGUACGGAUGGCACUCUUGUAUCACUUACGUUUAUCACAUCUGGUUCCACGCCAACCUGACGGACAAUCGCAAAGAUCUGGACCCACACACCUGCCUCCGUUCAUACACACCGGCUCACACACACCUGCAGAUAGAGGGAGAGGAAGACAUGGCUUGAAGAUGAAGGACAAUACAGGAAGGAGAGGAUGAGGAGGAAUUUAUACUGACUUUUUUCGCAUUGCUUCCCGGUGUAUCCCUUCAGACAGGAGCACACGUUGUUCCUGAUACACACAGCUCCAUUCUUACAGGGAGGACUGCACACAGCUGCAUGGGCAAGACAUUGAUUACUCGUGCGAUCAAAAUCAAUUAUGUUCCUAACUUAAGCUUUAUAAAUGCUUGACCAGCAGAAAAAACAUAUUGUUUGAUUAGUUAAUUUGUACCGUUCUGACACUGUGCACCGUAGGAUCCGUGAGGACACUCGCAGACAUUCGGACGGACACACACUCCUCCGUUGAGACACAUGGGAGAGCAGAGAGCUGCAGAGAGAGACAAGAGUCUGAUCCGGUGUAGCCUGGUUUGCAGCGGCAGGUGUUCGGAGCAGCACACUCCAUGUUCCUACCACACGUGUGCCUGCAAACAGCUGUAAAGGAGGUGUUAGGAGCGUCCGUCUCCAGUGUAUCCCACAGGACACCUCCCACAGUGGAACCCCUCCUCAGUGGGCUGGCAUUGGACCCCAGGAAAACAGGGCCGGUCUGCACAGGUGGUCACAUGUUUGCUCGCCGUCGUCCUCACCCCCAGCCGCGAGGAGCUGUGCCCCGCCCUCCCCGCUGUUCUUAAGGGGAGUCCCGGGAUUAUCUGCAGCGUCUCAAAGCUCGCCUCAGCCUCGUCUCCGUCAGCAGAGAACUCCAGCUCAGACAGGGAGUAGGACAGAGAGAACUGAUUUCAAAGGAGACCACAAAGAAAAACAUCCAGUUUUGCAUCCAGGAAAUCAUGCCUUUGGGGCACGGGCCGCAGCUAUAGGAGCCAAAGCGGUUGAAGCACGGGACUUCAGAGAAACACGGCGUCUCUUCACACUCAUCGAUGUCCUCCAGGCAUGUCACCCCUGCAAACACACAGGAAAUGAUGUCUGCAGUUAUAUUGUUGGCUAUCUUGUUUAUAUUUGUAUUACAUAAAUAGAUGUUUUUGUAAGCACAUGCACACACAUUGAAAGGAGUUUCAUUAAGGUCUCACCUGUCACCCCUGAAGGACACUCACACCUGUACCCAGUCUCUGUGUUGAUGCACGUGCCCGCCGCGCACGGGUCGGACAGACAGUCGUCCUCAUGCUGCUCGCAGAGGUCGCCCUGCGUCCCCUCAGGACACACACACAGAGAAGCUGCUCUGGGCGUUGCACUCGUCGGACAGCGUGAAGCGGACAGAAUGCUUCGAUGGACGCUCCUCUUCCUCCUCCUCCUCAGAGAGCGACGGGACCCUCCAGAUGAGGAGGCCUGCAGGGGACAGGACGCCCCCCCCAGGACCCUCCUCCAGCUGGAAGAGGAGCGCCGAGCCCUCGGGGUCCGACGCUGCGAACUGGAAGACGAAGUUCUCCCCGGAAAACGUCCGCAGGGCGCUCUGAGGCCGGUGGAAAGAUGGAGGCUCGUUGACUAAAGACAGAGGAGAGGAACACUUGAGAACCAUAAGCUUUGCAGGGAUUGGAACCAACCAACGACAACAACAUAAGCGGUUAAGCGACAGGUCAGGGCAUGCUGGGAAAUGUAGACCUCCGCUCCUUUGAUCUGCUAAUGAGGACAAACAGGACCACAGUGUGACGGCUGACACAGGAACAGCGUACUGAAACGACCAGGUGAACUUGGAGGUGUCAGGGUCACAGAGGAGGCAGGGGCUGCUGGGGCUGGAGACCCCCGCUGCGAAACACAUCCCGUCGAUGUUACACGUCUUCUCCUGAAAAAAAAGAAGGUCCUCGGGGCCGUAGAUGCCCCCGUCUGAUCCGUGGAAGUCGUUGUGUCCGUUGCGGUCGAAGGUGCCGCAGAGGCCCUGCGUGUGUCCGAAGUCGACGCUGGGAGCACGGACAGACAGACUCAUCCCCCAAUCGCCAACAUCGGCCCUAACAAAGGCCCCGGAGGGAAAGAUCAACUACGAGAGGAGAGGCACACCCAGCAGCUCAUUAACAUCUGCCCAUGCAGCAAAAGGACGUUGGGACAUAGCUUCUCCAGAGGCGGGGUGCGUUGGACCCGGGGAAGACACUGAUCAGACUCGGGCGGUUCCCGUCUCGUGUGAAGUCGGUGACGGCGGUGAUUAAAACCGUGGCUCGGCCGCAGCUGCCCCCGCUACAGGCGUUGGGCCGCAGCUCCACCUGGCAGGCCGACAGCGCCACGUUUGGGGACUCGUGUCCGUCUGCGGAUGUCAACACAGCCGUCUGACCUGGGUCCUGCACGCUCAGAGCCAGAGGGACCCCACACUGGUGGCCGUGGUCGGGGCCGAAGCAGGGGAUGGGCACCGUGCUGUGCACCGUCACCUCGUGCUCUUUACUGUUCUCCACUAUGUGCAGCGAUUCUGGAGAAAACUGGAGAGAAAGAAGUCAUUGAUUAUCUCAGGUUCACCUUUGGCGCAGUAUCCCAUGCACCCCUGCGUGGGCUGCAGGCGGUACACCAUGAACUCCCCACAGUUGCGCACGGUGACGGGGAUGCGGAAGAGGCAGCAGUCCUUGGCGCUUCCGUGGAAGAACUGCCAGGUGGCGCAGGCGGAGAGCUGCCGGAGCUCGCCGGGGCGCGGCAGGGGGGCGUCCUUCAGCGACAGCCACACCGGAGCCUGAGUGCCGCAGUGGUUCAUCUGAAA